UAGGGAAUCUUCCACAAUGGACGCAAGUCUGAUGGAGCAACGCCGCGUGAGUGAAGAAGGUCUUCGGAUCGUAAAACUCUGUUGUAAGAGAAGAACGUGUGUGAGAGUGGAAAGUUCACACAGUGACGGUAACUUACCAGAAAGGGACGGCUAACUACGCGCCAG
RNAcentral lists this ribosomal RNA (165 nucleotides) under uncultured bacterium. RNAcentral describes it as "partial 16S rRNA". It matches the Rfam family "Bacterial small subunit ribosomal RNA", at positions 355 to 511 of the family's 1533-position model. The record is from RNAcentral.